CUACGGGGCGCUCCAGUGAGGAAUAUUGCACAAUGGGGGGAACCCUGAUGCAGCAACGCCGCGUGGAGAAUGACGCAUUUCGGUGUGUAAACUCCUUUUAUAUGUCAAGAAAAUGACGGUAGCAUAUGAAUAAGCACCGGCUAACUCCGUGCCAGCAGCCGCGGUAAUACGGAGGGUGCAAGCGUUACUCGGAAUCACUGGGCGUAAAGGACGCGUAGGCGGGUUGGAAAGUCAGGUGUGAAAUCCUACAGCUUAACUGUAGAACUGCACUUGAAACUUCUAAUCUAGAGUAUGGGAGGGGGAGAUGGAAUUAGUGGUGUAGGGGUAAAAUCCGUAGAUAUCACUAGGAAUACCUAAAGCGAAGGCGAUCUCCUGGAACAUUACUGACGCUAAGGCGUGAAAGCGUGGGGAGCAAACAGGAUUAGAUACCCCUGUAGUC
RNAcentral lists this ribosomal RNA (439 nucleotides) under uncultured bacterium. RNAcentral describes it as "partial 16S ribosomal RNA". It matches the Rfam family "Bacterial small subunit ribosomal RNA", at positions 339 to 795 of the family's 1533-position model. The record is from RNAcentral.